RNAcentral lists this microRNA precursor (121 nucleotides) under Linum usitatissimum (flax). RNAcentral describes it as "miR398a stem-loop (lus-MIR398a)". Its record names the gene lus-MIR398a. The stretch from base 7 to 114 matches the Rfam family "MIR398 microRNA precursor family". Lineage: Eukaryota; Viridiplantae; Streptophyta; Magnoliopsida; Malpighiales; Linaceae. The record is from miRBase by way of RNAcentral.
UUGUGGAUGAUUCUUACCGGGUCGACUAGAGAACACACGAAGAGAGGUCCGCAACGAAUGAGGUGUUUCAUUUCACUUUCCUGUGUGUUCUCAGGUCGCCCCUGCAAGAUUUCCUUCACAA